Molecule: ribosomal RNA, 427 nt
Filed under: uncultured Variovorax sp.
Lineage: Bacteria; Pseudomonadati; Pseudomonadota; Betaproteobacteria; Burkholderiales; Comamonadaceae
Description: bacterial SSU rRNA
Rfam family: Bacterial small subunit ribosomal RNA
Source: RNAcentral
AGUGGGGAAUUUUGGACAAUGGGCGCAAGCCUGAUCCAGCCAUGCCGCGUGCAGGAUGAAGGCCUUCGGGUUGUAAACUGCUUUUGUACGGAACGAAACGGCUCUUUCUAAUAAAGGGGGCUAAUGACGGUACCGUAAGAAUAAGCACCGGCUAACUACGUGCCAGCAGCCGCGGUAAUACGUAGGGUGCGAGCGUUAAUCGGAAUUACUGGGCGUAAAGCGUGCGCAGGCGGUGAUGUAAGACAGUUGUGAAAUCCCCGGGCUCAACCUGGGAACUGCAUCUGUGACUGCAUCGCUGGAGUGCGGCAGAGGGGGAUGGAAUUCCGCGUGUAGCAGUGAAAUGCGUAGAUAUGCGGAGGAACACCGAUGGCGAAGGCAAUCCCCUGGGCCUGCACUGACGCUCAUGCACGAAAGCGUGGGGAGCAAA